Molecule: unclassified non-coding RNA, 314 nt
Filed under: uncultured Sebacinales
Lineage: Eukaryota; Fungi; Basidiomycota; Agaricomycetes; Sebacinales
Description: sequence contains 5.8S rRNA gene
Source: RNAcentral
GAACGCACCUUGCGCCCUUUGGCUAUUCCGAAGGGUACACCCGUUUGAGUGUCAUUGUAAUCUCACUUCAACGACUUUAUUGUUGUUUGAAUGUGGACUUGGACGUCUGCCAUGUAACAAUGGCUCGUCUUAAAUGCCUGAGUGUACCCCGCUUUGCGGCGUAUUCGGUGUGAUAAACAUUUCACCGGAAUUUGGUCUUUAUUGACCGCGCUUUUAGCAAUUGGUGGGCUCUAUGCUUUCUAACCGUCUGCCUCUGUGGACAAUCUCUUGACAAUUUGACCUCAAAUCGGGUGGGACUACCCGCUGAACUUAAG